CGUAGGGACCAAGCGUUGUUCGGAUUUACUGGGCGUAAAGGGCGCGUAGGCGGCGUGUUAAGUCACUUGUGAAAUCUCUAAGCUUAACUUAGAACGGUCAAGUGAUACUGAUGUGCUAGAGUGCAGAAGGGGCAACCGGAAUUCUUGGUGUAGCGGUGAAAUGCGUAGAUAUCAAGAGGAACACCUGAGGUGAAGACGGGUUGCUGGGCUGACACUGACGCUGAUGCGCGAAAGCUAGGGUAGCAAACGGGAUUAGAUACCCCGGUAGUCCUAGCCCUAAACGAUGAAUACUUGGUGUCUGGAGUUCUUUUCUCUGGGUGCCGUCGCUAACGUUUUAAGUAUUCCGCCUGGGGAGUACGCACGCAAGUGUG
This 371-nucleotide ribosomal RNA is filed under the name uncultured organism. RNAcentral describes it as "bacterial SSU rRNA". It matches the Rfam family "Bacterial small subunit ribosomal RNA", at positions 526 to 896 of the family's 1533-position model. The record is from RNAcentral.